CAGUCUUAGCCCUAAGAACCCAACAUUCAGUUGGGCAUUGUUAGGGAAUUGCAGGUUAUAAGCCCAGAGGAAGGUGGGGAUGCCGUCAAGUCCUCAUGCCCCAUACGGGCUGGGCUACACACGUGCUACAAUGGUGGUGACAGUGGGCAGCGAGCACGCGAGUGUGAGCUUAUCUCCAAAAGCCAUCUCAGUUCGGAUUGCACUCUGCAACUCGAGUGCAUGAAGUUGGAAUCGUUAGUAAUCGCGGAUCAGCAUCCCGCGGUGAAUACGUUCCCGGGCCUUGUACACCCCGCCCGUCACACCAUGGGAGUUGGUUUUACCCGAAGGCGCUGUGCUAACCGCAAGGAGGCAGGCGACCACGGGAGUGCAGCCAGGGU
RNAcentral lists this ribosomal RNA (377 nucleotides) under Brucella intermedia. RNAcentral's name for it is "bacterial SSU rRNA". It matches the Rfam family "Bacterial small subunit ribosomal RNA", at positions 1098 to 1481 of the family's 1533-position model. The record is from RNAcentral. Lineage: Bacteria; Pseudomonadati; Pseudomonadota; Alphaproteobacteria; Hyphomicrobiales; Brucellaceae.